Molecule: ribosomal RNA, 380 nt
Filed under: uncultured eukaryote
Lineage: Eukaryota
Description: partial 18S ribosomal RNA
Rfam family: Eukaryotic small subunit ribosomal RNA
Source: RNAcentral
CAAUAGCGUAUAUUAAAGUGGUUGCAGUUAAAAAGCUCGUAGUUGGAUUUGUGGCGUACGGUGUGUUCCGGGCACUUGUUGUCUGAGUAACCUGCUGUUGCCAUCCUUGGGUGGAACCUGUGUGGCAUUAGGUUGUCGUGCAGGGGAUGCCCAUCAUUUACUGUGAAAAAAUUAGAGUGUUCAAAGCAGGCUUAUGCCGUUGAAUAUAUUAGCAUGGAAUAAUGAGAUAGGACUUUUUUGCUAUUUUGUUGGUUUGCGCAAAGAGGUAAUGAUUAAUAGGGACAGUUGGGGGUAUUCGUAUUCCAUUGUCAGAGGUGAAAUUCUUGGAUUUUUGGAAGACGAACUACUGCGAAAGCAUUUACCAAGGAUGUUUUCAUUAA